This 287-nucleotide unclassified non-coding RNA is filed under the name Glomus sp. RNAcentral's name for it is "partial internal transcribed spacer 2". The record is from RNAcentral. Lineage: Eukaryota; Fungi; Glomeromycota; Glomeromycetes; Glomerales; Glomeraceae.
GUGAAUCAUCAAAUUUUUGAACGCAAAUUGCACUCUCCGGUAAUAGUAUGCCUGUUUGAGGGUCAGCCUAUAAAAAUCGACAUCGUUGCUUUUUCGCGGUGGCUUUCGUCGGUAAUUGGGUCAUCUUAAAUCCUUUUGAUUUAAGCGACUUAAAAUUUUCCUUUGGUUCCAUGAACGUUGCUAAGAUCUAUUUCUUUACACGUUUAAGGUAUCUAUUUUUACUAGACGUGACCAUCAUAUCGGAUGGCUGCCAUAAUCUUUCAUUAACUUACCUCAGACAGGUAAGG